CCCUUAGAUGUUCUGGGCGGCCCGCGCACUACAUUGGCACUAGCAAAGAGAUCCUAGAUUGAAUUCUUUGGGGUAUUCUUCUAAAUGGUGUCGUGACUGGGAUAAAUCCUUGUAAUUAUUGGUUUUGAACGAGGAAUUCCUUGUAAUCGCGGUUUAUCAGCUCGCGUUGAAUGCGUCCCUGCCCUUUGUACACACCGCCCGUCGCUCCUACCGAUGGAUCGUCCGGUGAAGCUCACGGAGUGACCGUUCACGCAACGGUUUACGAAGUGAAAUGGACCUCACGAUUUAGAGGAAGGAGAAGUCGUAACA
Molecule: ribosomal RNA, 309 nt
Filed under: uncultured eukaryote
Lineage: Eukaryota
Description: partial 18S ribosomal RNA
Rfam family: Eukaryotic small subunit ribosomal RNA
Source: RNAcentral